GUGUGAAGUUCUGUAGGUAGCUGGAGAUUCAGGUCUAGAACUUAGAAGUAACCUUUUAGAAUUUUAAAUUCCUAAGGAUUAGACAAUUCUGGAAAUCUAUGGUUUUUCUCAUUAGAUAUUGAAUUUUCCAUCUCUGUAUAUUAUCAAGCAUCAGUGCUUGAGUGGAUAUUCAUCCUAUGAUUAGGUAUUCAUAAGAAGAUGACCUCUGUGAUCUUUCCCAGCUCUUAAAUUCCUUUACUCUGUGAUAUUCUUAGGGUCCGUUUGAUUGAGAAGUCAAGAAGAAUAGUGCAUCAUCUACCAGAUGUCACCCAGAACUUUGUGUCACUUGGGUACACAUUGCGAGGCUUCAGGUGAUGUCUCAAGUGUGGGGAUGUUUGGCAUCAGUCUUCCUGACAUUCUGUUGCCCUAGUAACAAAAUAUAGGAGAAGCCCUGGUUGAGCUCUGCAUAGCCACCUACAUCCUGUUUCUUUUUCAAUAGAACACAGGUAGGUGGGGAAGAGCCCCAGGCUUCCCUUUGUUAUGUUGCCUAGGCAAUGGUCACAGACUUCUUCAUGUUCUGGAACUAAGAUAGCAGGAGGCAGGCAGGCAGGCACCCAUGGGAACUCCACACGCCCACCCGAAUCUUCCUGCCUAGGAAAUAAAACAUACCAACAGCAAGAGCUUGGGUUGGCGAAAUCAAUACAAAGUUUUUCUUUGGAAGUGGGAGAGUGAAAGGAAGAAGAGAUGGUAAAGGAAGAGGAGGCAAAUGAGGCAAAGGAAGAGAGUAUGAAUUAAAGAGGAGGAAAAGAAGGAAGAAAUAGGAAUAAGGAAGGAGAGAAGAAAAGGAUAAAGAGAAAACAAAAGAAACAAAGAAGGAAGGAAGCAAGGAUGAAGAGGAAAUGGAAAGAUGAAGAGAAGAGAAAGAAUUAAGAGGAGAGGAAGGGAGGAAGAAAAGAAAGAAGGAAGAAACAAAGGAACAAAGGAGGGAGGAAGAAGAAAAGAGAUGGAAAAACAUCAUGAAUAAAUUGGUCUGAUAUUUCUGGGCA
Molecule: long non-coding RNA, 1025 nt
Filed under: Monodelphis domestica (gray short-tailed opossum)
Lineage: Eukaryota; Metazoa; Chordata; Mammalia; Didelphimorphia; Didelphidae
Description: lncRNA (ENSMODG00000046325.1)
Source: RNAcentral